Pseudophryne corroboree (corroboree frog) is the source of this 1924-nucleotide long non-coding RNA. RefSeq lists it as uncharacterized. The record is from RefSeq and is a predicted model, not a curated record. Lineage: Eukaryota; Metazoa; Chordata; Amphibia; Anura; Myobatrachidae. The transcript is spliced from 4 exons.
UAAAGAGCGGGAAAGAGGCUUGGCAGCGGCACGUGCCGCUGCGUUUUAUCUCAUCACUCGGGAGCACAGAGCUGGGUUUGUGGCGUGCGGCGGCGGCCCCGGGUCUUCUCCUGUCCUGACGUCACCAGGUCAUGUGACUGUACGGCAGUCAUGGCGGCGGAGAUGUCCCAAUCGUAGUUGCCAAUUCAGCUUAUAACAAGCAAAAUUGGGCUUGUUUUUUUGUUCAAGUUGCUGUAUUUUAUUGGUUGUUGCUUGUUUUUGGGCUUAUAAUUUUUUUUUGGGGGGGGGCUUUUUUUUUUUUUCCAUUUUAUUUUUUUUAAAGUUACCACUGGCACCGACCUUCAGAGGUAGAUACUCAACACAGAUACCCACAAAGACAUAGCUCCUGUGACUCAGUUCUACAAGAGACCUGCACCAAUUACCAUCGUGACUCCUGCAGUGUUCCAGCUCUGCUUCCUGGCUUUCUACUGCGGUCCUGGCAUCGGCUUCCAGCGUUGGUUCUAGUCUGCCUCCAGCUUCCAGCUGUGUCCUGGUAUCGUUAUUUCUUCCAUUAUCUACGGCAUCGCUCACUAGCUUCUAUGGUAAAGUGUCACUGGCUUCCAGCGUGUCACUUACAUCAGGCUCCAGGAGGUGUUUGUUAAGCUCAUAUGGAUGCCAUACAAAAGAAAAUAUAAUAUAAUAUAUAGUGACGUACAGUUUUAAUCAUCCAUCAAACAAAGUACAAUACAGUAACAAUAGACAUUGAUUAAAAACAUCCCAUAUUUGGCAUAAAAAAUAGCAGCAAUAGUUUGAAUGGCUCAAUGGCAUGGACUGAAUUGAGAGAAGCAAUGGAAAAUUACCAGAGUAAUUGAACUACAAAAGCAGUUCAAAAACAGCUUGCGGGUUUUGGUGGAACAGGGGAACCCGGAAAUCCCCUAUACCUCGCUGCACUGCACUGGUCAGUCCUCCGGCACUCCUCAGCUCACAGUCCUGUAUCCACCAACGAGUACUCUUCUUCUAAGUGGCGUCACGUCACUUCCGGUGAAAGAGGCUACAGGGCAAGCACAACGGCAAGCUGCUGCUGCUGGGAGUCCCAACCUGUCCCCUUCUGAGCCCCCCUCCCCUUCUCACACCCAUUCCCCCUCUCCUUCCCAGUCCCCUUCUCAGCCCCCCUCCCCUUCUCACACCCAUUCCCCCUCUCCUUUCCAGUCCCCUUCUCAGCCCCCCUCCCCUUCUCACACCCAUUCCCCCUCUCCUUCCCAGUCCCCUUCUCAGCCCCCUCCCCUUCUCACACCCAUUCCCCCUCUCCUUCCCAGUCUCCUUCUCAGCCCCCCUCCCCUUCUGUCGCCCAAUCCCCCUCUCCUUCCCAGUCCCCUUCUCAGCCCCCCACCCCUUCUGUUGCCCAAUCCCCCUCUCCUCCCCAGUCCCCUUCUCAGCCCCCCUCCCCUUCUGUCGCCCAAUCCCCCUCUCCUUCCCAGUCCCCUUCUCAGCCCCCCUCCCCUUCUGUUUACCAAUACCCCUCUCUGUCCCCCUCCACCUCUGUUGGCCAAAACACCUCUCCGCCCACCUCACCCUCUCUUUCCCAUUCCCCCUCUCUGUCACCCAACCCACCUCUCCACCACCCUCCCCCUCUCAAUCUGACCCACCCUCUGUACCAAGCUCCCCCUUCCAGCCUCCUUCCCCCAUCCAGCCUCCUACCCCCAUCCAGCCUCCUACCCCCAACCAGCCUCCUUCCCCACCUUCAGAAUGGGCAGCAGAGACCCCGGAGGCACUUCUGGGAGGAGAUCAAGUGCCACAGGACAAUGUUGCAGUUGGAGAUCCCACUACUUUUAGGGGCAUUAUUACCACUAUGUGCCAACACAUGCAGGGAUUAUUGAGGAGUGUGGAGCAGCUUGAAAAGUUUUCAUAAUUUUAAAUUUUUAACAUUUUAUUUUUGUUUAAAAAA